UCAGUAUUAAGUUUCAUGAAUUUUCUACGAUGAUUCUAAAUGCUUUUAAAAUAUUAACACGUAAAUGUUUUAGGAUCGGGCUUGUUCUUUGUUUAUCUGUGCUUACUUUACGUCUUGUGCAAUUAGAUACGUCAAUACCUGUACUUUUCUGGGGACCGUGAGGAGACGCAGGUAUCGUAGGACGUUGCGACCAAACUAAUUACUGAGCAGUGUGUUGCCGAAUUACUCCUACAAAAUUCUCCAAGUAUGACAUGAGGAGGCCAUUUUGGAAAAAAAAUAAAGAGAGACGUAAAAAAUCCGUGGGCUUUCACUAUAAAAAAAAUACUGUUUCGCCUAAAAAUAUACUAUAUUGAGCUGUCAAUCAAGUAAAUUUCUUCCCCUCAAAGCAAGUACCCACAGAAUUUUUUACUUCACUUUCACACAUGGCGUUAAAAAAACAAAAUAGGGGAGAAAACCUCCUAUCCUGGGUACUCAUAAUGCUGAAUAUGGACAUUCACAACUCAUGACUCAUGACACUUACCAAAGGCGAGUCAUUCAAAUGUUCAAAAAAUUCCGUUAUAAAAUCUGAGUAACCAAAUCUUAAGAAACUACUUAAACAAGUAUGACAAAUGCAACAAAGUUAGUCUAACACAUUUAGAUUCCCGGGCACGAAGGUAAAUCCUGAAAAAUGGACUUUAUUAAAAUUAAAGUCCUGUAAAUUUUA
Manduca sexta (tobacco hornworm) is the source of this 703-nucleotide long non-coding RNA. RefSeq lists it as uncharacterized. The record is from RefSeq and is a predicted model, not a curated record. NCBI's taxonomy places the organism in Eukaryota, Metazoa, Arthropoda, Insecta, Lepidoptera, Sphingidae. The transcript has 3 exons.